Molecule: long non-coding RNA, 944 nt
Filed under: Ananas comosus (pineapple)
Lineage: Eukaryota; Viridiplantae; Streptophyta; Magnoliopsida; Poales; Bromeliaceae
Description: long non-coding RNA (ACOM_LNC016686)
Source: RNAcentral
UCGGAGGCGCGGGGCGAGCGCGGGGGCGAGCGCGGGGGUGGAGCGUAAGCGGGAGCGGGCGUGGGGGCGGGCGCGACACGGCGAGACGCGGGCUCUUCGCGGAGCCGGAAAAAAAAGCGGCUCACAGCCGUGGUUUUCACGAGGUCCCUUCGGCCUCGUGUACCACAUGAGAGGGAGGUCCACGGUGGACCUCCUUAUAUGUAUAGAGAGAAUUGAGUUAGAAUACUAUCGAUAGCAAACGAGCUCCGUUGCCACCAAUUUGUUUUCGAUGAUAGAGCCUCCAAAUCGACGAUCGGCACUGUUGAACAUGAUCUAUACCACUUGAAGUGUUUAGAAAUCAAAUUUCAUACAUUUUCGAUAUUGUUCUCUUAUCCAUCGAGUGAACACAAAAAUGAACGGCUGAAACUGAAUAUUCUUUAAAAAAUGAUUAUAGGAGUCGUGCAAUCAAGAUCAAGAGUAUAGAUCUUGUUUUAAAUAGUUUAAAAAAUUUUCAAAUAAAAAUUCAAUUGAUUUGGAUAUCUUUACGCCGUUAAACGAGAAAACGUCUCAUAUCAACCAUUAAAAUUACAAAAUUUAUAAUCCUUUGACCAUUAGGCUAAUGAUGCCGAAAAAUUUAAAAUUUGAUUUUUAAAUACUUCAAGUGGUNAGGGAGAAGUACCCAGAUAGAAUCCCUGUAAGGGUUUUAAUUUUUCCUUUGUUUUGAUCUGCCCUAGGGUUUGUUUCUUGAUUACAUUGUUGUUCAUGUUUGCUGUUAUUGCAGUGAAAUGUUUAGUUCUUGAUUAAUCAGAAGAAGAAAUAAAUCGGUUGCGGCGAGCUUCGCCGGCGCCCGUCCGUGGUCGGAUACCGGCGAUGGUGGCGGCGCAGCUGCUGCUCCGACAGGGCAAGCCCAAGGACGAGAGCCUCGAUCUCUUCUCCGCGAUCCGGUGGAGCGAAUCGCCGACGAU